GCAAGUCGAACGCGAAAGCCUCCUUCGGGGGGCAAGUAGAGUGGCGCACGGGUGAGUAACACGUAGGUAAUCUACCUUUGGAUUGGGAAUAACAACCGGAAACGGUUGCUAAUACCGAAUAAUGCAGCGGCACCUAAUGGUGACAGUUGUUAAAGCGGGGGAUCGCAAGACCUCGCGUCUGAAGAGGAGCCUGCGGCAGAUUAGCUAGUUGGUAAGGUAACGGCUUACCAAGGCGAUGAUCUGUAGCCGGCCUGAGAGGGCGGUCGGCCACACUGACACUGACAUACGGGUCAGACUCCUACGGGAGGCAGCAGUCGGGAAUUUUGGGCAAUGGGCGAAAGCCUGACCCAGCAACGCCGCGUGAAGGAUGAAAUCCUUCGGGAUGUAAACUUCGCAAGAACGGGAAGAAUAAGUAAGAGUUAAUAUCUCUUACGAUGACGGUACUGUUUGUAAGCUCCGGCUAACUCCGUGCCAGCAGCCGCGGUAAUACGGGGGGAGCAAGCGUUGUUCGGAUUUACUGGGCGUAAAGGGCGCGUAGGCGGCCACCGCAAGUCGACUGUGAAAUCUCCGGGCUUAACCCGGAAAGGUCAGCCGAUACUGCGGGGCUAGAGUGCAGAAGGGGCAACUGGAAUUCUCGGUGUAGCGGUGAAAUGCGUAGAUAUCGAGAGGAACACCUGCGGCGAAGGCGGGUUGCUGGGCUGACACUGACGCUGAGGCGCGAAAGCUAGGGGAGCGAACGGGAUUAGAUACCCCGGUAGUCCUAGCCUUAAACGAUGAAUGCUUGGUGUCUGGGGUUUUAUAGUCCCCGGGUGCCGUCGCUAACGCUUUAAGCAUUCCGCCUGGGGAGUACGGUCGCAAGACUGAAACUCAAAGGAAUUGACGGGGACCCGCACAAGCGGUGGGAGCAUG
This 909-nucleotide ribosomal RNA is filed under the name uncultured Bacillota bacterium. RNAcentral's name for it is "bacterial SSU rRNA". It matches the Rfam family "Bacterial small subunit ribosomal RNA", at positions 57 to 941 of the family's 1533-position model. Lineage: Bacteria; Bacillati; Bacillota. The record is from RNAcentral.